This 1202-nucleotide long non-coding RNA is filed under the name Takifugu rubripes (torafugu). RNAcentral describes it as "lncRNA (ENSTRUG00000030700.1)". Lineage: Eukaryota; Metazoa; Chordata; Actinopteri; Tetraodontiformes; Tetraodontidae. The record is from RNAcentral.
GAAGAAUGACCCCCUUCUCUCGCUCACUCCCUCUCCCUCCUCCCUCUCGCUCUCAGACUAUUUCAGACUCUCUGUCAGACUUGGGCUCACAUCGGACGGAGGGAUGGAAAGCCUCCAGCGUCUCUCCUCCAUCACAGACACCGACCUUUCUCUCCGCGCGUCCGCGACCAGAGCAUUCGCCACCACCGCAGCGACAGGAGAGACACCGCGUCACAGCUAAUCCGUCCGCACCGCAUCAUCUCCCUCCAGCGCAGCGCUAGUUACGCUGCAGAAACUGGAUUAUCAGAGGGAUUUUGGGACGGAUAGACUCUUCACUGGACCUCUAAAUUAACCCCCUCUUCGCCGACAGCACGUACAGUCUCCACUCCGCGCUUGUCUUUUUUCUGCACCGCGUCGGUGAUUCGCCCUCACAAGGGGAGAAACUCAGCAGUUGUUGCAGCUUUUUAUUUGCAUGUCGACGUGCAUCCCACCACCAUGCGGAGGUUACUGCAUUCCUGGAGUUGCUGCUGGUGGAUUUGCUGGGUGCUGGUGCAAGCCUCCGCGUUCCCCCGGGCCGACUUUCAUCCAGCUCUGACAGGAAGCCAAGCUGAGUCCAGAGCCACUAUCCCGGGCCUUUACGGAGCAGCGGUCGACGGGUCGAGACAGCGGAGAGCAGCGGAGAACUACUGGGCCUAUUCAGAACAGCUCGCAGGAGCUUCCAGGAUCCAUCACAUCUUGUGGCUCCCGAGGAUGCAGGCUUUGCUGCAGGACACAGAGGAGAUCUUUAUUCCUUGUAGCUGUCUAUCUCCUAAACUCCCACAAUCCCCUAAUCAGUAUUAUUGUGUCUAUGAAUAAAGUGAUUGUUGUGAUUCCAAAUAUUCAAACUAAAGAGGUUCUUGAAUAACCGUAGGGUUUGAUAUAAUGAAGAAAGGAACCAGAAUAUGAGCAGUGUUGGUGAGUCCAAUGAGGCUCUCUUCUGCUUUCCUGGAAGCUUUGGUUGUCCUUGAUGGUCGUUGCUGAACUGUAAGAAACAUACGGCAACAUUUAAAAAGGUUGUAGCAUCAGAAAGUGGACGCUUCCUGGCAUCUGGCAUUCAAGUCUGGCAUUAAGGAGGGACCAAACGCUUUCAUGGACAUAAUGAAAGACGACAUAUUCUAAACCAUCUACAGUCUACAGUAGCUCACCAGAGGAACCUCAAAGUCUCCUUAAACCAGGAUGCAUCC